This 467-nucleotide ribosomal RNA is filed under the name Bactrocera kandiensis. RNAcentral describes it as "partial 16S ribosomal RNA". Lineage: Eukaryota; Metazoa; Arthropoda; Insecta; Diptera; Tephritidae. The record is from RNAcentral.
GUUUUUUUAGAAAUAAAUUUAAUUUACAAAUUUUUGAUUUUUUGGUUAUUUAUUUAAUUGAAAAAUUUAUUUAUUUGAAUAUUUUAAGGGAUAAGCUUUAAAAUAAAUUAUUAAAAAUUAAUAGUAGUAAUAUAAAAUGUAUGCUUAGAAUUAGCAAUCAUUAUAAAGUUUGUUAUAAAUUAUUUUAUAAAUUAUAUUAUUUAUUAUAUUUUAAUUUAUUUAUAAAAAUUUUUUUAUUAAUUAAAUAUAAAAAGGAAUAAUGAUAGAAUUAGUAUAUUUUUUUGUUUAUGUAAUUUUAUGUGAUAAGUUUAUAUAAAGAACUCGGCAAAAAUUUUACCCGCCUGUUUAACAAAAACAUGUCUUUUUGAGUUAUUUUUAAAGUCUGACCUGCCCACUGAAGUUUAUUUAAAUGGCCGCAGUAUUCUAACUGUGCAAAGGUAGCAUAAUCAUUAGUCUUUUAAUUGAAG